Molecule: ribosomal RNA, 404 nt
Filed under: uncultured bacterium
Lineage: Bacteria
Description: bacterial SSU rRNA
Rfam family: Bacterial small subunit ribosomal RNA
Source: RNAcentral
UGAGGAAUAUUGCACAAUGGGCGCAAGCCUGAUGCAGCAACGCUGCGUGCGGGACGAAGGCCUUCGGGUCGUAAACCGCUUUUCUGGGGAAAGAGCAAGGACGGUACCUCAGGAAUGAGUCUCGGCUAACUACGUGCCAGCAGCCGCGGUAAAACGUAGGAGGCGAGCGUUAUCCGGAUUUACUGGGCGUAAAGCGCACGCAGGCGGCUCUGUGAGUCGGACGCGAAAGCUCCCGGCUUAACCGGGAGAGGCCGUUCGAUACUGCGGGGCUUGAGGUAGGGAGAGGAAUGCGGAAUUCCCGGUGUAGUGGUGGAAUGCGUAGAUAUCGGGAGGAACACCUGUGGCGAAAGCGGCAUUCUGGCCCUCACCUGACGCUGAGGUGCGAAAGCGUGGGUAGCAAACAG